RNAcentral lists this long non-coding RNA (302 nucleotides) under Gossypium barbadense (sea-island cotton). RNAcentral's name for it is "long non-coding RNA (GBAR_LNC016897)". Lineage: Eukaryota; Viridiplantae; Streptophyta; Magnoliopsida; Malvales; Malvaceae. The record is from RNAcentral.
UCUCUUUACAGCGUUUAUAUUGUGUUGUUAUAGAUUGCAGUUACUGUAAUUGUUAAUCGGUCGUACUAGUGACAAAUUAACAGCAAUUGGUCUGUAAUCAUAUUUUCAUUAUGGCAGCAAUAUAAGAGGAGAUUAUAACUGAGAUUGACUUGAGUUUUGAUUUGGGAUGUGAAUAUAUUGAAGCAAAGGAGCAUAUUAGAUGAAGCCUGUGAAGAUGAGGAGCUGGGAGGGAUAGCAAGAGAAGCUAAGAAAAGAUUAGAUGAGAGGUUGAGAUCACAGCCUAAGAGGUACUAGAAUGGCAA